CCGGCACGGGUGAGUAACGCGUAUGCAACUUGCCUAUCAGGAGGGGAUAACCCGGCGAAAGUCGGACUAAUACCGCAUGAAGCAGGGGCCCCGCAUGGGGAUAUUUGCUAAAGAUUCAUCGCUGAUAGAUAGGCAUGCGUUCCAUUAGGCAGUUGGCGGGGUAACGGCCCACCAAACCGACGAUGGAUAGGGGUUCUGAGAGGAAGGUCCCCCACAUUGGUACCGAGACACGGACCAA
RNAcentral lists this ribosomal RNA (238 nucleotides) under uncultured bacterium. Its description in RNAcentral is "partial 16S ribosomal RNA". It matches the Rfam family "Bacterial small subunit ribosomal RNA", at positions 100 to 334 of the family's 1533-position model. The record is from RNAcentral.